UACUUUUCUCUUUCUUUGUAUGCCACAAUAUUUUUGUGGAAAACUAGAUAUUUUAAAUUGCAUAAUAUGAAAAAUGUUGACAUCAGAAUUCCUCACUUUCAUAUUUGUUGUUGUUGCUAUGUUGUAACACAGUGUGUGUCAGUGUAUGCCUUCAAGAUUUCAUUGAUUAACAACUCUACCUUAGUCUUCACAUCCUGCUUUGUAGAGUCUCAUCAUCAGCCAGAGGUGAGAGAUUAUGGCCUUUCCUACUGUUCCUGGGCAAGCACAUUGCCCUGCACAUGUUCAUGGCCUUCUAGAUCUCUAGAUGUAUGUCUUCCUAAGAACAUUUUAUUCCCCAUAUUCCUUAAAGAUUUAGAACUUUAAGACCUAAAGUUUUUGGUUAGUUUCUGUUUGUUUGUUCCAAUUGGUAUUGCUGCCCUAAUCGGCUGUGAUAAACAGUUACCACUGAUUGUUUCUGACAAAUGUCUUGGGUAUAGAGCUUAUACCACUGAGUGAAUACUGAAUUACAUAAAACAAAAACAAGCUCUGUGAAUGAGAAUUCUCUAGGGAGCUGCCAAACAUGCCAAACAGUAACAAUAUUUGUAUGUAAGUCUUAGGGGGAUGAUCUAGUGCCCUCUCCAGUAGCUGCUAGAUUGUUGAGUUUUACAGCUACUGUUGUUGCAAGACUGAUUAUUUUGAAGGAUAUUGCAGAGCUGUGGCAAGGGGGAUGCAAAUAGAGAAAAUUAACAUGCCACAAAACUGGCUGUCGUUAUGAAGACUCAGCUAUUUUUCUUCAAAAAAAUGCUCCUUGUAAUGUUGCAAGCCUUUGGUAAUUUCUAGAAUGUAAAAAAAGUUGAUUUUGACCAUUUUUUGGGCAAGUGUUUUUUGUGCUUAUGUUGGAGCUGACUUAUUUUGUUAUUCCAGAACUCUUGCGUGAUGGUCUUUUAACUGGAAUGCCUACUUAUUACUCUUUUCCCCUCACAAUACAGUCUUGAUAGAGAAGCCUAAGAGAACUAGUAAAAGUAUAAAUCAGAUCAUAUCACUACUCUGACAAAAAACUUUUGAAUUGGUAUUUCUUAAUGUUUAGAAUUAAAUUUAAGUUUCUGAUUAUGGUCUACAAACCAUUUUGGCUUAAGAGACUUUAUAAGUGAGGUUCAAAAGCAGCAAAAAGGUAGCAAAAAGAGCAUGGGGAAUUACUUUGAAGCUGAUAUCUAUACAAAUCACAUUUCAUUUUAGGGGGAGGUGGAGUGUUGCUUUUGUUUGCUACUGACAAUUGUAGUGAUACAACUCUCUUAUCUGUUGGAUUAUCUUGGCUCCUAACUGGACUUUUAUUGCAUCAUCUCUUUCCCCUUAGAAACUACAAAUUGCUGAUUUCUGAAAGCCUGUUCUUCCCUAUUACAUUAUUCUCCUCUCAUUAGUUGUCUGUUUACUUUUACAUCUGAAUUUUAAUCUAUUGUUGUAGACAAGGAGCUGUGCAACUCCAUUCCCCCUUCAACGAAGGAAUUAUUGCCCAACCCUGAAGAUGGUAGCCAACCAAGAAUUUCCUACAUUCAGUUCCUUUGGGCCAGGCUCAGUUGCAGGGAGGAAACGUCACUGAGGUUGUGCAUUCACAACCCAUGCAAUAGAAAUCUCAGCUGGAGAAAAGCACAGUGAUCAUGGUUCAGGGAUUUCAGAGACGAGUGUUUGCUUCAUACCAUCAGAAAAAGAGGCCUGCAGCAAUCCUGGAGAGGCUGUCACUCUAAUGUUUAUGGAAAAGUCAGUAGAAGCAGC
Molecule: long non-coding RNA, 1749 nt
Organism: Homo sapiens (human)
Lineage: Eukaryota; Metazoa; Chordata; Mammalia; Primates; Hominidae
Exons: 3
Source: RefSeq, a predicted model, not a curated record